UACGUAGGGAGCAAGCGUUGUCCGGAAUCAUUGGGCGUAAAGCGCGCGUAGGCGGCCCGAUAAGUCCGCUGUAAAAGUCAACGGCUCAACUGUUGAAAGCCGGUGGAUACUGUCGGGCUAGAGUACGGAAGAGGCAAGUGGAAUUCCCGGUGUAGCGGUGAAAUGCGCAGAUAUCAGGAAGAACACCGAUGGCGAAGGCAGCUCUCUGGGACGGUACUGACGCUGAGACGCGAAAGCGUGGGGAGCGAACAGG
Molecule: ribosomal RNA, 253 nt
Filed under: uncultured bacterium
Lineage: Bacteria
Description: partial 16S ribosomal RNA
Rfam family: Bacterial small subunit ribosomal RNA
Source: RNAcentral